Long non-coding RNA from Catharus ustulatus (Swainson's thrush), 503 nucleotides. RefSeq lists it as uncharacterized. The transcript has 4 exons. The record is from RefSeq and is a predicted model, not a curated record. Lineage: Eukaryota; Metazoa; Chordata; Aves; Passeriformes; Turdidae.
UCCUACGUGGAUGAAGAGAGUAAAAAAACACUUCACCUUGGUGCUUAUAAAAAUGAUACCUGAAUGGUCAAAGCAAAAGCCUAUGGAUGUAUAUUCCCCUGGUGCAGUAUUCCAUAACCACAUAGACCCAUGGAAGAGAGCAGCUGCCUGCUUUACCCGGUUUUAUUUCUUGUCAGAGGUUGUGUAAUGUGCCUGUAUAAAGGAAGAAAUGGCUCCAAUAGCUUGAAGAAGAGUUCUCCACCUGCUAGCAAAAGCAAAGAGUUUAUUUGAUAACAGAUGGUAAAACUGCAAAAUUUUCUCCGCUUCAUUAGUGCCCCUGGCAAGUCUUCCUAUAUAAGGGGCUGCAGAGAGAUCCCUAAAUCAUGGUGCAUCAUGCUGACCCUGGACUCCAAGGCAUGAGGACAACAUAUGGUUAUUUCCUACCAGGAACUGGCUUCCAACAAUGUCAGAAACUCGUCCUUCAAAAGUCACCCACUGAGGAAAGAAGAUUCUUCUGCAGGACG